AAGAGUGUCAAUGUAUUAGUGGUAACAGACCACUUCACGAAAAUGGCGAAUGCAUUCCUGUGCAAGAACCAGUCAGCAGCUCAAGUCGCUCGUCACUUAUGGGAUACGUUCUUUUGUGUCUAUGGAUUUCCACAAAGAAUCCACUCAGACCAAGGUGCGAACUUUGAAAGCGGGUUGAUCAAGCAACUUUUACAAAUUGCUGGCAUACAGAAGUCACGAACCACAGCAUAUCACCCGAUGGGCAAUGGCCAAGUCGAGAGGUUCAAUCGCACCUUGGGUAAUAUGAUCAGGGCAUUGCCUCCGAGAGCCAAACAAGCCUGGCCACAAAUGCUGCAAACCUUGACGUUUGUUUACAAUUGUACUGCCCAUGAGUCAACCGGCUUUGCACCGUUUUUUCUCAUGUACGGUCGGAUCCCCAGAUUGCCUGUCGAUUUGAUGUUCCAGAGCGUGGAUCGGGAUAACAAUGUCACAGACUAUGACCAGUAUGUGAGAAAAAUGAAGGACGAUCUCAAAGAAGCUAUGUUACUUGCUCAGGCCAACAACACUGCAAGUCAACAACGGCAAACUGAGCAUUACAACAAAGACGUCAAAGGCAGUGACAUUGAGUUAGGAGAUUAUGUGUUGCUCGCCAACAAAGGAGAGCGUGGGCGACGCAAGCUAGCCGACAAAUGGGACUCAACUUUGCAUGUUGUGGUAUCUGUGGAUACAAGAUGUCAUACCUACCAUGUGAGGAACACUCAAACCAAUCAGGAGAAGGUGGUUCACAGGAACUUGCUCUUACAAGCCAACUUCUUACCUGUUGAUGAGAGGGAGGACUGUGUAGAACCGGCCUUCUAUGACUCCAAGUCGGACUGUGAGACUGAUGAGUCUGUGGUUGACACUACCUUGAAUGAAUCAGAGGAUGCUUGUAACGAAAUUGUUGGGUCAGCUCAUUCCUCAGCUUGUCCAUUAAGCACAUCAGUGGAAGAGGGAACCAGGGAUCCCAGUUCUAGAGCAGGACUAGAGCAUGUCUCUGAUGGAUCAGUUCACGGAUGUGAGAAUCGGAAAACCGUUCAGAACUCUGAGUCUGACCUUUCUACCAUGGAUGUGGAGGAAGUUGAGCUUGACAUAGAAGAGUCCAUGCCACCUGAUGAAGUCUCUGGCGAGAUUGUUCAGCCUUUAACCGAAACUGCUCACCCAGUCAUAACAAGGGCUGGCAGAUUAGUAAAACCAGUUAAUAGACUGAUUAAAAUUAUGACCC
RNAcentral lists this long non-coding RNA (1240 nucleotides) under Sinocyclocheilus anshuiensis. RNAcentral's name for it is "lncRNA (ENSSANG00000006467.1)". The record is from RNAcentral. Lineage: Eukaryota; Metazoa; Chordata; Actinopteri; Cypriniformes; Cyprinidae.